Non-coding RNA from Zootermopsis nevadensis, 757 nucleotides. NCBI's taxonomy places the organism in Eukaryota, Metazoa, Arthropoda, Insecta, Blattodea, Termopsidae. The record is from RefSeq and is a predicted model, not a curated record.
UACAGAGCCAAUGAUGAUUCCUCAGGGCCGAUUUACUCUGAAGCAAGCAAUGAAGUUCAUUGCUGAUCACCAUGCAGAUCCAAACACUUGGACAGCAACAGCUAUAGCAAAAGAAUACAACAUUAAUCAAGAUAAACUAGAAACAAUUCUGUUCUAUUACCGAAUGUUUCAAGUACAUAUUCCUGAAGGCAUGGGUAAGAAGAUUCCUGUGAAGUUAAAUACUAUGACAGAAGAAACAAAGAACCCACAAAUGUUACAAUCAGAUGAAGAGAAAAUGCAUCAUGAACAAAAGUGAAAAUAGUAAUGGAAUAUAGAAUUAAUAGACAGUGUGCAAUUUAUGUAGAUUGCUUUCAAUGUAACAUUAGUUUAUAAUGUUUAAAUUAUUCUACAGCUUGAUGAGCUAAUGUUCUUUUGUGCUACAUGGAAGUUAAUUUGGAAUGUGAGACACAUUUCCACUGUUCAGUAGCUCAUUAUUAUUUAUCAUACAGUUCAUAAUACAGAAAUAUAUAUGUAGGAAAAGGACUUGCAAUAUAAAGAGAUAUGGAGAAACUUUGUACGAAAAUGUAUGUUUUCAUAAAUAAUUAGAAUAAUCAGUUUGUUGACAUAUAUGUACAUGAUGAAUGUAUUUGGACUGUGAUAAAGUUACACAAAGUAAUGUAAUUAUAUAUUCACAUUACAUUUAAAAGCAAACUAUGGUUUUCUUUCUGUUUUUUAAAAAUCUGCACAGAUUCCUAUUAAAAAUAUACUAUGAAGUGUU